This 119-nucleotide ribosomal RNA is filed under the name Pteropus alecto (black flying fox). Lineage: Eukaryota; Metazoa; Chordata; Mammalia; Chiroptera; Pteropodidae. The record is from RNAcentral.
GUCUACGGCCAUGCCACCCUGAACACACCAGAUUCUGUCUGAUCUCGGAAGCUAAGCAGAGUCAGGCCUAGUUAGUACUUGGAUGGGAGACCACCAAGGAAGACCGGGUGCUGUAGGCA